GGGAGUGGGGUGGGGGUGGGAGCACAGCUUCCCUCCCACCCCCACCCCACCCCCAGUUCCCAGGU
This 65-nucleotide microRNA precursor is filed under the name Marmota monax (woodchuck). The record is from RNAcentral. Lineage: Eukaryota; Metazoa; Chordata; Mammalia; Rodentia; Sciuridae.